GACGAACGCUGGCGGCGUGCUUAACACAUGCAAGUCGAACGGAGUGGCGAACGGGUGAGUAACACGUGCGUAACCUGCCCUUGACUUCGGGAUAACUUCAGGAAACUGGGGCUAAUACCGGAUAGUUUUGGAUGGACUCGCGGCUUAUCAGCUUGUUGGUGGGGUAGUGGCUUACCAAGGCAACGAUACAUAGCCGACCUGAGAGGGUGAUCGGCCACACUGGGACUGAGACACGGCCCAGACUCCUACGGGAGGCAGCAGUGGGGGAUAUUGCACAAUGGGCGAAAGCCUGAUGCAGCGACGCCGCGUGGGGGAUGAAUGCCUUCGGGUUGUAAACUCCUUUCGACAGGGACGCGGUACCUGUAUAAGAAGCACCGGCUAACUACGUGCCAGCAGCCGCGGGAAUAC
RNAcentral lists this ribosomal RNA (408 nucleotides) under uncultured bacterium. RNAcentral's name for it is "partial 16S ribosomal RNA". It matches the Rfam family "Bacterial small subunit ribosomal RNA", at positions 28 to 526 of the family's 1533-position model. The record is from RNAcentral.